Molecule: non-coding RNA, 92 nt
Organism: Podarcis lilfordi (Lilford's wall lizard)
Lineage: Eukaryota; Metazoa; Chordata; Lepidosauria; Squamata; Lacertidae
Source: the annotation of a GenBank genome assembly
GUCUUUUACAUCCAGAGAUAGCUCAGUUGGUAGAGCACAAUACUCUUAAAUCUCAGGGUCAUGGGUUUGAGCCCCGUGUCAGGCAAAAGAUU